RNAcentral lists this unclassified non-coding RNA (1364 nucleotides) under Hevea brasiliensis (rubber tree). Lineage: Eukaryota; Viridiplantae; Streptophyta; Magnoliopsida; Malpighiales; Euphorbiaceae. The record is from RNAcentral.
UCUUCUUUUUGUUUUCUUCUCCAUUUUCAAGCUCAAAUGGCAAGGGCUUUACCCGCAAUCACCUCUACGGUUGGGGGAUUCGAAUGGUGGAAUGAAAUUGAUGAAUCUGAGGAUUGGCAGAAAGGGAUUUACUACGCCUUGUCCGCCUCUUAUGCCCUCAUCUCCCUCAUUGCCUUAGUUCAACUUAUUCGGAUUCAAAUAAGAGUACCAGAAUUCGAGUGGACUACACAAAAGGGGUUCCAUUUGAUGAAUUUCGUUGUAAAUGGAUUGAGGGCUAUUCUCUUUGGGCUUUAUAAGAGUGUCUUCCUCAUUAGAGCGAAGGUUCUUGAACUGGUGGUUAUGGAGAUCCCUGGACUUCUAUUUUUUUCAACCUACACACUGCUUGUUCUAUUUUGGGCAGAGAUAUACCAUCAGGCGCGAAGUCUGCCUAUUCAUAAACUCAAGCCUACUUACUGUAUCAUCAAUGGAGUUGUGUACGUUAUACAGAUCUGCAUUUGGAUAAUUUUGAUGUUAGACCAUUCUCCUGGUUCAGUUAUAGCUGCUAAGCUCUUCUUUUCAGUGGUUUCAUUUUCUGCUGCACUGGGUUUCCUGAUAUACGGUGGGAGGCUAUUUGUCAUGCUGAGGCAGUUCCCUAUUGAAUCUAGAGGACGCCAAAAAAAGUUGUAUGAGGUUGGGUGCGUGACAACAAUUUGUUUUAGCUGUUUCUUUAUACGAUGUUUUGUGCUUGCCCUAUCUGCAUUUGACAAGGAUGCAGACCUUGACGUUCUAGAUCAUCCCAUUCUUAACCUGAUAUACUACAUGUUGGUAGAGGUUGUUCCUUCGGCAUUGGUUCUGUUUAUACUGAGAAAACUUCCUCCGAGGCGUGUAUCUGAUCGGUACCACCCCAUUGAGUGAAGCUCGCAACAGUAGAUGACGUUUUAUUUUUAGGACUUUGAUUAGAGAGCUCUGUUUUUCUCUAGAUUACAAUAUACUCGUAUGAUCACUUCUAAUUUAAUCCAAAAAGUAGUUCUAUGAGCCGGAAACAAAAUAUGGCCAAAAGAAUACAUGUUUCGACGUGCAUGCUACUGUGCAGUUGGUAGAGUUUGUUCCAUCAGCAUUGGUUCUGUUUAUACUGAGAAAACUUCCUCCGAGGCGUGUAUCUGAUCGGUACCACCCCAUUGAGUGAAGCUCGCAACAGUAGAUGACGUUUUAUUUUUAGGACUUUGAUUAGAGAGCUCUGUUUUUCUCUAGAUUACAAUAUACUCGUAUGAUCACUUCUAAUUUAAUCCAAAAAGUAGUUCUAUGAGCCGGAAACAAAAUAUGGCCAAAAGAAUACAUGUUUCGACGUGCAUGCUACUGUGCAGUUGGUAGAGUUUGUUCCAUCA